UACGUAGGGUGCAAGCGUUGUCCGGAAUUAUUGGGCGUAAAGAGCUCGUAGGCGGUUCGUCGCGUCGGCUGUGAAAACCUGAGGCUCAACCUCAGGCCUGCAGUCGAUACGGGCGGACUUGAGUACUGCAGGGGAGACUGGAAUUCCUGGUGUAGCGGUGAAAUGCGCAGAUAUCAGGAGGAACACCGGUGGCGAAGGCGGGUCUCUGGGCCGUAACUGACGCUGAGGAGCGAAGGCGUGGGGAGCGAACAGG
This 253-nucleotide ribosomal RNA is filed under the name uncultured bacterium. Its description in RNAcentral is "partial 16S ribosomal RNA". It matches the Rfam family "Bacterial small subunit ribosomal RNA", at positions 524 to 776 of the family's 1533-position model. The record is from RNAcentral.